Molecule: ribosomal RNA, 279 nt
Filed under: Rhizobium sp. CSW-27
Lineage: Bacteria; Pseudomonadati; Pseudomonadota; Alphaproteobacteria; Hyphomicrobiales; Rhizobiaceae
Description: partial 16S ribosomal RNA
Rfam family: Bacterial small subunit ribosomal RNA
Source: RNAcentral
CAACUUGAGAGUUUGAUCCUGGCUCAGAACGAACGCUGGCGGCAGGCUUAACACAUGCAAGUCGAGCGCCCCUCCUUCAAGCAAGCUUGAAGGAAUUUUCCUUGGAAAGAGAAGAUCAAAAAAGCUUCUUAAGAAGCUUUCUUGAUGGAGGGGAGCGGCAGACGGGUGAGUAACGCGUGGGAACGUACCCUUAUCUUCGGAAUAGCUCCGGGAAACUGGAAUUAAUACCGAAUGUGCCCUUCGGGGGAAAGAUUUAUCGGAUAAGGAUCGGCCCGCGUU